GACGGGGAACCCCUAAAGCCCUUCACACCAAACCAGCCCGGGAAACCUGCUGGCGGCCCGUGGGAAACUACGGGGUAUGGUAACAGAGGAAGGGAUGAUCUUGGCCCAUUAGCAGGCCAGGUGAAAUGGGCGAUCCGCAGCGAAGCCCCUGCCGUUCAUCGGUCGAGCACCGCUCGAUUGAAACAUGGGGAACGUUCACAGACUAAGUGGAAGUGGGUGGAGCGCAAAUGCUCUGCUUAAGAUAUAGUCGGGCCCCUGCAGAGAUGCAGGGGAAGUAUCACAGAGAGGGUGAAUGACGGGACCACUCUUGCCUCAGUUCCCGUCUGAGCCUUCCUGUGAGAAAACAAAAAACCGUUCCGUAGGUGAACCUGCGGAAGGAUCAUUA
RNAcentral lists this ribosomal RNA (385 nucleotides) under Phyllosticta mimusopisicola. Its description in RNAcentral is "partial 18S ribosomal RNA". The stretch from base 1 to 271 matches the Rfam family "Group I catalytic intron", at positions 61 to 253 of the family's 253-position model. Rfam says of the family: Group I catalytic introns are large self-splicing ribozymes. They catalyse their own excision from mRNA, tRNA and rRNA precursors in a wide range of organisms. The record is from RNAcentral. Lineage: Eukaryota; Fungi; Ascomycota; Dothideomycetes; Botryosphaeriales; Phyllostictaceae.